CAGCAGCCGCGGUAAAACGGAGGGUGCAAGCGUUAAUCGGAAUUACUGGGCGUAAAGCGCACGCAGGCGGUCUGACAAGUCAGAUGUGAAAUCCCCGGGCUUAACCUGGGAACUGCAUUUGAAACUGUCAGGCUGGAGUCUUGUAGAGGGGGGUGGAAUUCCAGGUGUAGCGGUGAAAUGCGUAGAGAUCUGGAGGAAUACCGGUGGCGAAGGCGGCCCCCUGGACAAAGACUGACGCUCAGGUGCGAAAGCGUGGGGAGCAAACAGGAUUAGAUACCCCAGUAGUCCCUGUCUCUUAUAC
RNAcentral lists this ribosomal RNA (301 nucleotides) under uncultured bacterium. Its description in RNAcentral is "partial 16S ribosomal RNA". It matches the Rfam family "Bacterial small subunit ribosomal RNA", at positions 509 to 807 of the family's 1533-position model. The record is from RNAcentral.